This is a long non-coding RNA of Ahaetulla prasina, 1106 nucleotides long. RefSeq lists it as uncharacterized. The transcript has 3 exons. The record is from RefSeq and is a predicted model, not a curated record. Lineage: Eukaryota; Metazoa; Chordata; Lepidosauria; Squamata; Colubridae.
UAAGACGACCUCCUGAGGAUGUCAUUCAGGGAAUUUUUGGAGUCAGUGUUCCUUCACUGAAUCCUAACUUAUUCAAUACUGUUAAGUCUAGCAGAUUGCUUUACGUAUGCUAAUCUCCUACAGGAGAAUAAUGUCCUCAUUAUCAGGUAUGCAUAGGAUCAUCAGGUAUGCAUAGGAUCAUCCAUCCUUUAUAAGAGGUACAUCCCGGCUCUGUGUCAUCAAGGCCCACCUCAGGCGGAGCUUUCUAACCGACAGAACCCCUGGCUGGUGUUCAGAAGUGGGACUUCUUGUCACCGUAAUAUAAAAGGCAUCUUUUUGAAGAUCAUUUAUUCCAACUAACAGGUAUUCCGAUGAUCAUGUGCUAUCAGUGGAGGAAAAAUACAGACAGGGUGAAGAAGAAUCAUUUGAAAGAAUAGAAUAGAAUAACGCAGUUGGAAGGGACCUUGGAGGUCUUCUACUCCAACCCUCUGCUUAGGCAGGAAACCCUACACCACUUCAGAUAAUUGGUUGUCCAAUCUCUUCUUAAAAACUUCCAGGGUUGGAGCAUUCACAACUUCUGGAGGCAAGUUGUUCCACUGAUUAAUUGUUCUAACUGUCAGGAAAUUUCUCCUUAGUUCUAAGUUGCUUCUCUCCUUGAUCAGUUUCCACCCAUUGCUUCUUGUCCUGCCUUCAGGUGCUUUGGAGAAUAGCGUGACUCCCUCUUCUUUGUGGCAACCCCUGAGAUAUUGGAACACUGCUAUCAUGUCAUGUCAGAAUAGAAACACCACAAUAAUAUAUGAGUACAGGUAAUCCUCCACUUACAACAGUUCAUUUAGUGACUGUUCAAAGUUACAACGGCACUGAAAAAAAGUGACUUAUGACUGCUUUUCACACUUAAGACCAUUGUGGAAUCCCCAGGGUCAUGUGAUCAAAAUUCAGAUGCUUGGCAAGUGACUCAUAUUUAUGACGGUUGCAGUGUCCUGGGGUCAUGUGAUCCCCUUUUGCAGCCUUCUGAGAAGCAAAGUCAAUGGGGAAGCCAGAUUCAUUUAACAACCAUGUUACUAAAUUAGCAACUGCAGUGAUUCACUUAACAAAUGUGACAAGAAAGGUUGUAAAAUGGGGCAAAA